GUGGGGAAUAUUGGACAAUGGGCGAAAGCCUGAUCCAGCCAUGCCGCGUGUGUGAAGAAGGUCUUCGGAUUGUAAAGCACUUUAAGUUGGGAGGAAGGGUAGUAACCUAAUACGUUGCUACUUUGACGUUACCGACAGAAUAAGCACCGGCUAACUUCGUGCCAGCAGCCGCGGUAAUACGAAGGUUGCAAGCGUUAAUCGGAAUUACUGGGCGUAAAGCGCGCGUAGGUGGUUCAGUAAGUUGGAAGUGAAAUCCCCGGGCUCAACCUGGGAACUGCUUUCAAAACUGCUGAGCUAGAGUACGGUAGAGGGUGAUGGAAUUUCCUGUGUAGCGGUGAAAUGCGUAGAUAUAGGAAGGAACACCAGUGGCGAAGGCGACCACCUGGACUGAUACUGACACUGAGGUGCGAAAGCGUGGGGAGCAAACAGGAUUAGAUACCCCUGUAGUCC
This 450-nucleotide ribosomal RNA is filed under the name uncultured bacterium. RNAcentral's name for it is "partial 16S ribosomal RNA". It matches the Rfam family "Bacterial small subunit ribosomal RNA", at positions 354 to 796 of the family's 1533-position model. The record is from RNAcentral.